Molecule: long non-coding RNA, 501 nt
Organism: Amphiprion ocellaris (clown anemonefish)
Lineage: Eukaryota; Metazoa; Chordata; Actinopteri; Pomacentridae
Source: Ensembl
ACGACAAAGCUCUCAUUGUUUUUCUGUGCGUCAUCAUCAUAGUAGUUGUGGUGUUUGUGGCGAUCUAUAAGCGCUACAUUAAGAAGCACAGAGAGUCCAGAAGUGGUGUGAAUGACGACAUGAUGCUUGAUUCAACAGCAAUCUAUAUGAAUACACGACCUCCUGGAUGGCGUCAUAAAGCAGCUCGCUGAUGAAGGAAGGCCUGAUGGAGCUUCACAUCAAAUCACCAUUUACUCUUUAUGAUAAGUUUUCAAGUUAUUCAGCUUGCAGUAGAUAUUUUAUCCCAUUUUAGAGGCUAUUUUUAAAGUUGUAUGACUGUCAUUAGCCAAGAGCUCCAAUAUUGUACUCUGAAAUAUUGUUUAACAAAGUAAAUUCUGUGGUGUCUUCAUCCCUUUGUUGCAUUUUGGAAUUUCAAUGCUUUUGAUGCUUUGGUGUGCAUAUUUUCCCAUGUUAGAAUGUGUCCAUUUUGUUGCUAAUGUUUUGAACCAAGUCUGGUUAAAU